ACUCUUGCAAUCAAACUUUCUU
RNAcentral lists this microRNA (22 nucleotides) under Drosophila melanogaster (fruit fly). RNAcentral's name for it is "dme-miR-2501-3p". The record is from miRBase by way of RNAcentral. Lineage: Eukaryota; Metazoa; Arthropoda; Insecta; Diptera; Drosophilidae.